CCCUUAGAUGUUCUGGGCCGCACGCGCGUUACAAUGAUGCACUCAACAGGCAUAUAACCUUGGCCGAGAGGCCUGGGUAAUCCCGUUAACUUGCAUCGUGUUAGGGAUAGAUUAUUGCAAUUAUUAAUCUUGAACGAGGAAUUCCUAGUAAUCGCAGAUCAUCAAUCUGCAAUGAUUACGUCCCUGCCCUUUGUACACACCGCCCGUCGCACCUACCGAUUGAAUGGUCCGGUGAAGCCUCCGGAUUGGCGCGCACCUCGGUGCCGCCGAGAAGUUGGCUAAACCUUACCAUUUAGAGGAAGGUGAAGUCGUANCA
Molecule: ribosomal RNA, 316 nt
Filed under: uncultured eukaryote
Lineage: Eukaryota
Description: partial 18S ribosomal RNA
Rfam family: Eukaryotic small subunit ribosomal RNA
Source: RNAcentral